This is a non-coding RNA of Prunus mume (Japanese apricot), 4077 nucleotides long. NCBI's taxonomy places the organism in Eukaryota, Viridiplantae, Streptophyta, Magnoliopsida, Rosales, Rosaceae. The record is from RefSeq and is a predicted model, not a curated record.
AAAACCAAAGUCUUGUUUUUGGAGGGAGGAGAGGAGCGCUCAGCCUCUCAAACACCAAAAAGCAGCUCUACCCAGCGGGCGCCAGAGAAGGCUCUCUCUCAUUUAAACCUCCACUCUCCUCCCACUAACUCUCUCUAAACCCAGCUUUUCUCUCUCUACACCCAGCAAUGUUCUCCGGCGGCACCUCAAGCUCAAGGUCACAAAGAUCCUCCAUCUCGCCUUUCCGCUCCCGGAAGCCUGCGGGGUCCACAAAGCCCCCUACGGCGUCGUCUCGGCCGGCCACCCCUUCUUCUUCCACUACGUCGUCUCGGCCCACCCCGUCCAAGCCCUCUCUGUCUCCGCCCUCUUCCUCUGCCAGCCCCAACCCGCCGUCCCCGCCCAAUGUCUCCAAGUCCAAGGAAAAUGUCACCGUCACCGUCAGGUUUCGCCCCCUCAGUGCUCGUGAGAUUAACAAAGGGGACGAGAUAGCGUGGUAUGCAGAUGGGGAUUAUACAGUGAGAAACGAGUUCAAUUCUUCCAUUGCUUAUGGCUUUGAUAAGGUUUUUGGUCCGGCAACAACAACACGCCAUGUCUAUGAUGUUGCUGCACAGCAUGUUGUCGGUGGUGUUAUGCAAGGGAUUAAUGGUACUGUGUUUGCAUAUGGUGUUACUAGUAGUGGGAAGACGCAUACAAUGCAUGGGGAGCAAAAGUCACCUGGAAUUAUUCCACUGGCAGUGAAGGAUGUUUUUGGAAUUAUACAAGAGACACCUGGGCGGGAGUUUCUUCUUCGUGUUUCAUAUCUGGAAAUUUACAAUGAGGUCAUAAAUGACUUACUUGAUCCAACAGGACAGAAUUUACGAAUAAGAGAGGAUGCUCAGGGAACCUAUGUUGAAGCAAUCAAAGAGGAAGUUGUUUUAUCUCCUGCUCAUGCUCUUUCUUUGAUAGCAACAGGAGAAGAACAUAGGCACGUUGGUUCAAAUAAUUUCAAUCUACUUAGCAGUCGCAGCCACACUAUAUUCACAUUGACUAUUGAAAGCAGUCCACGAGGUGAGAAUCAUGAUGAAGAAGAUGUCACCUUGUCCCAGUUGCACUUAAUUGAUCUUGCAGGAUCUGAAAGUUCUAAAACUGAAACAACUGGAUUGCGAAGAAAGGAGGGUUCAUACAUCAAUAAAAGCUUACUCACGCUUGGCACUGUGAUUUCUAAAUUGACAGAUGGAAAGGCAACUCAUAUUCCAUAUCGAGAUUCAAAACUCACUCGUUUGUUGCAGUCAUCCCUCAGUGGUCAUGGGCGUAUAUCUCUCAUUUGCACUGUGACCCCUGCAUCUAGCAAUAGUGAGGAAACACACAACACACUGAAGUUUGCACAUCGGAGUAAGCGCGUGGAAAUCAAGGCUUCCCAAAAUAAGAUUAUGGAUGAAAAGUCUAUUAUCAAGAAAUAUCAGAGGGAGAUUUCCAGUUUAAAGCAAGAACUUCAGCAAUUAAAACGUGGCAUGAUGGAGCAUCCAAAUACAGCUAUAUCUACUCAGGAAGACCUGGUUAAUUUGAAGCUUCAGCUGGAAGCUGGUCAGGUGAAAUUGCAAUCAAGAUUGGAAGAGGAAGAAGAAGCCAAGGCAGCUUUAAUGGGAAGAAUACAACGACUGACUAAACUAAUCUUAGUGUCCACGAAAAAUACUAUCCCACCAAGCAUAUCUGAACGACCUACUCAUAGACGGAGGCAUUCUUUUGGGGAAGAUGAGCUUGCAUAUCUGCCUGAUAAGAAGCGGGAAUACCUGGUUGAUGAUGAUGCUGGAAGUUAUGCUUCUGAGCUUUCAGUGGAAGGAAGGGAUGAGAUCACUAAUCUAGAUGAGUUGGUCAAAGAUUACAAAAGAAACAAAAGACGGGGAAUGCUUGGAUGGUUUAAACUGAAAAAACCUGAGAAUGUUAUUGGAUUAUCACCCAGUGCCGAUAGUGAGAGCUCUACAAGUGGGUCACCAGCACCUUCUUCAAAAUCUUCUCAAAAUAGAGUCAAAUUCAGUGAUUUGAAGGAUGGAGGAAGAAAGUCUGUCAGUAGAAGGGGAGAUGAUUAUACCAUUAUUGACCCAUUUCCGGAAAGAACACAAGCAGGUGAUUUGUUCGGUGCGGCUUUUGGAGGUCACUGUUUGCCUCGGACGGGGUCCACUAUUACAGAUCAAAUGGAUCUUCUUCGCGAGCAAGUGAAAAUGUUAGCUGGGGAGGUGGCAUUGUGUACAAGUUCUCUAAAAAGACUGUCGGAGCAAGCAGCUAGAAACCCUGAAGAUUCACAGCUGAGGGAACAAAUGCGAAAGUUGAAGGGCGAAAUUAGUGAAAAGAAGCUUCAGAUACGUGUUCUAGAGCAACGUAUGAUUGGAUCCCUUGAGAUGACUCCACAAAUGUCAAAUAACAGCGAAAUGUCUCAGGCUCUGUCCAAGCUUACUACACAGCUAAAUGAGACAACUUUUGAACUUGAGAUUAAGACAGCAGACAAUAGGAUACUUCAGGAGCAACUACAAAUGAAGAUUUCAGAGAAUGCAGAAAUGCAAGAGACGAUUCUUCUGCUAAGACAACAGCUCAAUUCACAACAAAUUUCUGAUAGCGAGGCUACCAGACUAGAGACAUGUUCCAAAAAACUAGUGCAAAAGAACAAUGAAGAAGGAGAAAGGUUUGGUCUGUGUCAAGAAACUUGUGCUGAUGAAAAUACACCAACCAGUGUGAUGAGCUUAAACAGAAUCCUUUCCCUUGAGGACUCCAAAGAGUGCAACAAAGAUGCAUUUUUGAAUUCCCAAAUCCAUGUACAGGCUUCUGAAAUAGAGGAUUUAAAGCAAGACAAGGUGAAACUUUCUGAGGAAAAGGAGGGGCUUGAAGUUCAGAAUAUGAAACUUUCAGAAGAAGCAUCAUAUGCUAAAGAGUUGGCUGCAGCUGCAGCAGUUGAGCUUAGAAACUUGGCUGAAGAAGUAACCAAGCUUUCUUAUGAAAAUGCAAAGCUGAUUGGUGACCUGGCUGCUGCAAAAGAGGUUCAGUGCCAAUCAAACUGUUGUCAGAGGCCCACUUCAUAUGAUUUUAAGCGAAAUAACGUAAAUGGAGCUCGAGCCGGAGGCCAUAAAAAGCCAGAGGAUGUAGUUUUGGUUGAGGAGCUACAAGGGGAACUUAGUGCAAGAUGUCAAAGAGAAGCUGCUCUGGAAAAAGAACUAUCUGAAAGAGAUCAGAUAGAAGAUGAUUUACGAAGAACAUUAGACAAAGUAAAACAACGUGAAGUUGAUUUAGAAAAUGAGCUGGCAAAUAUGUGGGUGCUGGUUGCAAAGUUGAGAAAGUCUGGCAUUAAUACCGAGGAUGUGUCACUUCAAGGGGUUCAUGUACCUGAAAGUUCACGUAUAAGAGUUAGAAAUGGGUUUCCGCCAUGUAAUGUUCAUUCAGAUGUUAUGUUCAAAGACAAUGAUAUCCGUGAAAACCUGAACGAGAUGGGCACAUUAGAAGAUUUAAGAGCCAGCUAUCAGAAAGAAAGGAGAAAAUGCAAAGAGCUAGAAUGCUAUAUUUCUAGACUGAAGGGUGAAGAUGUUGCUGGCCUGGAUGUUACAGCUCUUGAAGAAUUGCAGAACCUUCAUGUUGAGGCUAUAACGAAGAUUUGCCAUGCAAAGUGCGCGAAUCGUGUCUUUUAGCACGCUGAGCUCAAACAUCAUACAGAAUCUAUUGACGCACGGAUUUAGAUAUUUCAGGUAGUUUGCAGGUGUAAUCAAUUUUGUACAGAAUGGGAACAGAAACCGGAUUGAUUUAUGUCUCCAAUUAUCGGCUUCCAGGCACAAAUCAAGGAAGAGCUUAGGAAACGAUCGUUGAGGAGAUGCAAUUUUCUUGCAACUUGAAAAUUCAUGCGACUAGUUAGCUGCAGAGAUGGUUCAGAUCAGAGAUAUUGCUAUACAUGAAUUUAUCUAAACGCAUGUAUUAUCACGUAAUAUACCCGCUUACAUUUCCCACUUUGUAAGUUCACAAAAGACAACUAGAACUAACUUCUUUUUUCUUCUCUCUGCUAGAGUAGUAGACAAAAGAACUAUUGUAAAACUCCUGUGACCAAAAUGUUGUAUGUAUCUGCUACAUAUAUAUUUAUAUAUU